Molecule: ribosomal RNA, 253 nt
Filed under: uncultured bacterium
Lineage: Bacteria
Description: partial 16S ribosomal RNA
Rfam family: Bacterial small subunit ribosomal RNA
Source: RNAcentral
UACGAACCGAGCGAACGUUGUUCGGAAUCACUGGGCUUAAAGGGUGCGUAGGCGGGUUGCCAAGUUUGAGGUGAAAUCCUCCGGCUCAACCGGGGAAGUGCCUUGAAUACUGGCGGUCUGGAGGGAGGUAGGGGCGUGCGGAACUAACGGUGGAGCGGUGAAAUGCGUUGAUAUCGUUAGGAACUCCGGUGGCGAAGGCGGCACGCUAGACCUCUUCUGACGCUGAGGCACGAAAGCCAGGGGAGCGAACGGG